AGUGAACGCUGGCGGUAGGCCUAACACAUGCAAGUCGAACGGCAGCACAGUAAGAGCUUGCUCUUACGGGUGGCGAGUGGCGGACGGGUGAGGAAUACAUCGGAAUCUACUUUUUCGUGGGGGAUAACGUAGGGAAACUUACGCUAAUACCGCAUACGACCUACGGGUGAAAGCAGGGGAUCUUCGGACCUUGCGCGAUUGAAUGAGCCGAUGUCGGAUUAGCUAGUUGGCGGGGUAAAGGCCCACCAAGGCGACGAUCCGUAGCUGGUCUGAGAGGAUGAUCAGCCACACUGGAACUGGGACACGGUCCAGACUCCUACGGGAGGCAGCAGUGGGGAAUAUUGGACAAUGGGCGCAAGCCUGAUCCAGCCAUACUGCGUGGGUGAAGAAGGCCUUCGGGUUGUAAAGCCCUUUUGUUGGGAAAGAAAAGCAGCAGGUUAAUACCCCGCUGUUCUGACGGUACCCAAAGAAUAAGCACCGGCUAACUUCGUG
Molecule: ribosomal RNA, 492 nt
Filed under: uncultured bacterium
Lineage: Bacteria
Description: partial 16S ribosomal RNA
Rfam family: Bacterial small subunit ribosomal RNA
Source: RNAcentral